CUCUACAGCCAUCCCACUCUGAACACGCCUGAUCUUGUCUGAUCUUGGAAGCUAAGCAGGGUCGGGCUAGUUAGUGCUUGGAUGGGAGAACCAUGUUCCCAAAUAAACAAGAAGCUACAUAAA
Fukomys damarensis (Damara mole-rat) is the source of this 123-nucleotide ribosomal RNA. Lineage: Eukaryota; Metazoa; Chordata; Mammalia; Rodentia; Bathyergidae. The record is from Ensembl.